AGUUUGAUCCUGGCUCAGAGUGAACGCUGGCGGUAGGCCUAACACAUGCAAGUCGAACGGCAGCACAGGAGAGCUUGCUCUCUGGGUGGCGAGUGGCGGACGGGUGAGGAAUACAUCGGAAUCUACUCUGUCGUGGGGGAUAACGUAGGGAAACUUACGCUAAUACCGCAUACGACCUACGGGUGAAAGCAGGGGAUCUUCGGACCUUGCGCGAUUGAAUGAGCCGAUGUCGGAUUAGCUAGUUGGCGGGGUAAAGGCCCACCAAGGCGACGAUCCGUAGCUGGUCUGAGAGGAUGAUCAGCCACACUGGAACUGAGACACGGUCCAGACUCCUACGGGAGGCAGCAGUGGGGAAUAUUGGACAAUGGGCGCAAGCCUGAUCCAGCCAUACCGCGUGGGUGAAGAAGGCCUUCGGGUUGUAAAGCCCUUUUGUUGGGAAAGAAAUCCAGCCGGCUAAUACCUGGUUGGGAUGACGGUACCCAAAGAAUAAGCACCGGCUAACUUCGUG
This 508-nucleotide ribosomal RNA is filed under the name uncultured Stenotrophomonas sp. RNAcentral's name for it is "bacterial SSU rRNA". It matches the Rfam family "Bacterial small subunit ribosomal RNA", at positions 10 to 507 of the family's 1533-position model. The record is from RNAcentral. Lineage: Bacteria; Pseudomonadati; Pseudomonadota; Gammaproteobacteria; Lysobacterales; Lysobacteraceae.